AUGCUCCGUGACAUGGCCGCCACCUCCAACGACGGCGUCUUCCCUCUGGAGGUGUUGCGCGACAUCCUACUGCGCGUCCCAGCCAAGACGGUCCGCCGCUUCCGCUGCGUCUCCUCCUCGUGGAGUUCCCUCCGCCACCCAGGCUUCAUCACCGCCCACAGGGCCCGGCACCACCAAACGCUCAUCGCUGCUACCGUGCGUCUCCGCCGUGAAGCUGUGGUUCAUGACGGACGUUUAUGA
RNAcentral lists this ribosomal RNA (240 nucleotides) under Triticum aestivum (bread wheat). Its description in RNAcentral is "partial small subunit ribosomal RNA". The record is from RNAcentral. Lineage: Eukaryota; Viridiplantae; Streptophyta; Magnoliopsida; Poales; Poaceae.